CAGCGCCAGAGAGGAGGAGUGUAAACCAGCCAAACAGAAGACAUCUCGAAACUUAUUUCCUCCUCUGAGAAAUGAGGUGUCUCUUGUUAUUCAAGAUAGAUCCCAAAGGCUCCAGCUGAAGUACCAAGGCUAACACAAGGAACAGUACAGAGAAAGGAGUAUCAGACAGUGAUGGGGAAGACUGUGAGUCGGAGUGACAAGAAUAAAGAGAAGCCUUCAUUUCAGAUACUUUUAUACACAGGCAGAUGAAUUACCUCAGUGUCUAUGACCUUCACAGAGGUUUUACUUCCGGAGUAUCCUAGACCAGCCCUGCCUCUUCCAUUGUGACACCAAAGAAGAUUUGAUUGGGACUUGGAAACUAAAUAAACAGGGAUUAAAGUGAGAAAAGUAGAGAAGACCCUGAUGCUGGGAAAGACUGAAGGCAAAAGGAGAAGAGGGCCAGGAGAAGAUGAGACGGUUGGAUAGCAUCACC
Long non-coding RNA from Capra hircus (goat), 472 nucleotides. RefSeq lists it as uncharacterized. Lineage: Eukaryota; Metazoa; Chordata; Mammalia; Artiodactyla; Bovidae. The transcript has 4 exons. The record is from RefSeq and is a predicted model, not a curated record.